AAGUCUUAUACUCCACGGAACUUGCAAUUCCACAUGCUCUACACCAAAAGACC
This 53-nucleotide transfer RNA is filed under the name Armillifer armillatus. Its description in RNAcentral is "tRNA-Cys". Lineage: Eukaryota; Metazoa; Arthropoda; Ichthyostraca; Porocephalida; Armilliferidae. The record is from RNAcentral.